Molecule: long non-coding RNA, 698 nt
Filed under: Anser brachyrhynchus (Pink-footed goose)
Lineage: Eukaryota; Metazoa; Chordata; Aves; Anseriformes; Anatidae
Description: lncRNA (ENSABRG00000021696.1)
Source: RNAcentral
UUCAGACUUGCUGUAUUUACCAAGAUCUGAGAGGGCAAUUCAGAGACAGGUGGUAGUAAACCAAGGCUUUCGCCAGGUGAAGCUCCUGAUUGCUUUUGCCCCAUAAAAUGCCAGCAGCUGCUCCCCUCUUGUUCCCUGCAGACUGAGGGGGCAAGAAGCUCCCCCGUGGAUAGUUUGAAGUAGAGAAGGAGAUCAAUUGGAAAAAUUCAACUGGCUGUUGUGCUGCUCGCCUUGUUGGAAAAGGAUAUUACAUUGGCCUGAUACCCUGAGCUAUUUGCACUGAUAUCCCCACGGAGGAGAAGAGCUGGCUGGGAGAAGAAAAUGAACAGUUCUAUUUAUGCAGCAAGUAAAUGAUUGUGGAGCAAGGACUGGUUUUCCAAGCCUUCAUUAACGAGAUGAUUAAUAGUGAUGGCGGAGCAAGGAGCUGUCACUUUGUCCACCAGAGCCAGGUCCGUGAUGCUCGGGCAAGUCCCUCCUCUGGCAGCACCUCAUGCACUGCAGUGCACAUUUUCUCCCACGUCCUAUGGUCCCAGACCGUGGGAAUGCUUCCUCCCAGGGCGAUGGAGUUUCCUCUGCCAUGGUCUCAGUGGAUUGCUCCAGCAGCUCCUUGGGAAUCCCACCUAGCCUGGCUGGGCUGCCCAGGGUGCUCGCAGCUUGCAGGACUUUGCCUCUUGAGUCCUGGGGAAACUGCUUACCCC